UACGGAGGGUGCAAGCGUUGUCCGGAUUUAUUGGGCUUAAAGGGUGCGUAGGCGGCUUUAUAAGUCCGUGGUGAAAGCCAACAGCUCAACUGUUGAACUGCCAUGGAUACUGUAAGGCUUGAGUACAGACGAGGUAGGCGGAAUGGAUGGUGUAGCGGUGAAAUGCAUAGAUACCAUCCAGAACCCCGAUUGCGUAGGCAGCUUACUAGGCUGUAACUGACGCUGAGGCACGAAAGCGUGGGGAGCGAACAGG
Molecule: ribosomal RNA, 253 nt
Filed under: uncultured bacterium
Lineage: Bacteria
Description: partial 16S ribosomal RNA
Rfam family: Bacterial small subunit ribosomal RNA
Source: RNAcentral